UGAGACAUAGCUCAAUUGGUGGAGCGACAUGACUGUAAAGGGUCUGAAACGUAUGCAGGUUCGAAUCCUGCUGUCUCAAUCA
Molecule: transfer RNA, 82 nt
Filed under: Streptococcus phocae subsp. salmonis
Lineage: Bacteria; Bacillati; Bacillota; Bacilli; Lactobacillales; Streptococcaceae
Description: tRNA-Tyr
Rfam family: tRNA
About the family: Transfer RNA (tRNA) molecules are approximately 80 nucleotides in length. Their secondary structure includes four short double-helical elements and three loops (D, anti-codon, and T loops).
Source: RNAcentral